UGUGAGAUAUUCCCCAACGGUGGAAGGAGAGUAAAACAGUUUGGGAAUCCCCGAAACCCCGACCUGGAAAAUAUUGUUUUCCACAUAAGGACGACGUCUAGUCCGACAAAUGUGUUGGUUUGUAAAAUAGGGCUUUCCUUCUUUUUACUGAAGACAAGGACACCAGGUUUGUAAUAGGGCUUUCCUUCUUGUUACUGAAGACAAGGACACCAGGUUUGUAAUAGGGCUUUCCUUCUUGUUACUGAAGAAAAUGACACCAGGUUUGUAAUAGGGCUUUCCAUCUUGUUACUGAAGAAAAUGACACCAGGUUUGUAAUAGGGCUUUCCUUCUUGUUACUGAAGAAAAUGACACCAGGUUUGUAAUAGGGCUUUCCUUCUUGUUACUGAAGAAAAUGACACCAGGUUUGUAAUAGGGCUUUCCAUCUUGUUACUGAAGAAAAUGACACCAGGUUUGUAAUAGGGCUUUCCAUCUUGUUACUGAAGAAAAUGACACCAGGUUUGUAAUAGGGCUUUCCAUCUUGUUACUGAAGAAAAUGACACCAGGUUUGUAAUAGGGCUUUCCAUCUUGUUACUGAAGAAAAUGACACCAGGUUUGUAAUAGGGCUUUCCAUCUUGUUACUGAAGAAAAUGACACCAGGUUUGUAAUAGGGCUUUCCAUCUUGUUACUGAAGAAAAUGACACCAGGUUUGUAAUAGGGCUUUCCAUCUUGUUACUGAAGAAAAUGACACCAGGUUUGUAAUAGGGCUUUCCAUCUUGUUACUGAAGAAAAUGACACCAGGUUUGUAAUAGGGCUUUCCUUCUUGUUACUGAAGAAAAUGACACCAGGUUUGUAAUAGGGCUUUCCAUCUUGUUACUGAAGACAAGGACACCAGGUUUGUAAUAGGGCUUUCCAUCUUGUUACUGAAGACAAGGACACCAGGUUUGUAAUAGGGCUUUCCAUCUUUUUACUGAAGACAAGGACACCAUGUUUGUAAUAGGGCUUUCCAUCUUGUUACUGAAGAAAAUGACACCAGGUUUGUAAUAGGGCUUUCCAUCUUUUUACUGAAGACAAGGACACCAGGUUUGUAAUAGGGCUUUCCAUCUUGUUACUGAAGACAAGGACACCAGGUUUGUAAUAGGGCUUUCCAUCUUGUUACUGAAGAAAAUGACACCAGGUUUGUAAUAGGGCUUUCCAUCUUGUUACUGAAGACAAUGACACCAGGUUUGUAAUAGGGCUUUCCAUCUUGUUACUGAAGACAAGGACACCAGGUUUGUAAUAGGGCUUUCCAUCUUGUUACUGAAGACAAUGACACCAGGUUUGUAAUAGGGCUUUCCAUCUUGUUACUGAAGACAAUGACACCAGGUUUGUAAUAGGGCUUUCCAUCUUGUUACUGAAGACAAUGACACCAGGUUUGUAAUAGGGCUUUCCAUCUUGUUACUGAAGACAAUGACACCAGGUUUGUAAUAGGGCUUUCCAUCUUGUUACUGAAGACAAGGACACCAGGUUUGUAAUAGGGCUUUCCAUCUUGUUACUGAAGACAAUGACACCAGGUUUGUAAUAGGGCUUUCCAUCUUGUUACUGAAGACAAGGACACCAGGUUUGUAAUAGGGCUUUCCAUCUUGUUACUGAAGACAAUGACACCAGGUUUGUAAUAGGGCUUUCCAUCUUGUUACUGAAGACAAUGACACCAGGUUUGUAAUAGGGCUUUCCAUCUUGUUACUGAAGACAAUGACACCAGGUUUGUAAUAGGGCUUUCCAUCUUGUUACUGAAGACAAUGACACCAGGUUUGUAAUAGGGCUUUCCAUCUUUUACUGAAGACAAUGACACCAGGUUUGUAAUAGGGCUUUCCAUCUUUUACUGAAGACAAUGACACCAGGUUUGUAAUAGGGCUUUCCAUCUUGUUACUGAAGACAAUGACACCAGGUUUGUAAUAGGGCUUUCCAUCUUGUUACUGAAGACAAUGACACCAGGUUUGU
Long non-coding RNA from Oncorhynchus keta (chum salmon), 1956 nucleotides. RefSeq lists it as uncharacterized. The record is from RefSeq and is a predicted model, not a curated record. NCBI's taxonomy places the organism in Eukaryota, Metazoa, Chordata, Actinopteri, Salmoniformes, Salmonidae. The transcript has 7 exons.